RNAcentral lists this ribosomal RNA (510 nucleotides) under uncultured bacterium. RNAcentral's name for it is "bacterial SSU rRNA". It matches the Rfam family "Bacterial small subunit ribosomal RNA", at positions 10 to 507 of the family's 1533-position model. The record is from RNAcentral.
AGUUUGAUCAUGGCUCAGAUUGAACGCUGGCGGCAUGCCUUACACAUGCAAGUCGAACGGCAGCACGGGAGCUUGCUCCUGGUGGCGAGUGGCGAACGGGUGAGUAAUACAUCGGAACGUACCCUGAAGUGGGGGAUAACGUAGCGAAAGUUACGCUAAUACCGCAUAUUCUGUGAGCAGGAAAGAGGGGGAUCGCAAGACCUCUUGCUUUAGGAGCGGCCGAUGUCGGAUUAGCUAGUUGGUGAGGUAAAGGCUCACCAAGGCGACGAUCCGUAGCGGGUCUGAGAGGAUGAUCCGCCACACUGGGACUGAGACACGGCCCAGACUCCUACGGGAGGCAGCAGGUGGGGUAAUUUUGGACAAUGGGCGCAAGCCUGAUCCAGCCAUGCCGCGUGAGUGAAGGAAGGCCGUUCGGGUUAGUAAAGCUUCUUUCGGUGGGGAAGAAAUUGCUUCGGUUAAUACCUGGAGUAGAUGACGGUACCCGCAUAAGAAGCACCGGCUAACUACGUG